This 450-nucleotide ribosomal RNA is filed under the name Oribacterium sp. WCC10. Its description in RNAcentral is "bacterial SSU rRNA". It matches the Rfam family "Bacterial small subunit ribosomal RNA", at positions 1 to 442 of the family's 1533-position model. The record is from RNAcentral. Lineage: Bacteria; Bacillati; Bacillota; Clostridia; Lachnospirales; Lachnospiraceae.
UUUAAGAUGAGAGUUCGAUCCUGGCUCAGGAUGAACGCUGGCGGCGUGCCUAACACAUGCAAGUCGAACGAGCAAGAGAUGAAACCUAGUGAUUACCGAGCGAGUGGCGGACGGGUGAGUAACGCGUGGGUAACCUGCCUUACAGAGGGGGAUAACAGUUUGAAAAGACUGCUAAUACCGCAUAAGCACACAGUACCGCAUGGUACAGGGUGAAAAGAUUUAUCACUGUAAGAUGGACCCGCGUCUGAUUAGCCAGUUGGCAGGGUAACGGCCUACCAAAGCGACGAUCAGUAGCCGACCUGAGAGGGUGAUCGGCCACAUUGGGACUGAGACACGGCCCAAACUCCUACGGGAGGCAGCAGUGGGGGAUAUUGCACAAUGGAGGAAACUCUGAUGCAGCGACGCCGCGUGAGUGAAGAAGUAUUUCGGUAUGUAAAGCUCUAUCAGCAG